UACGAAUGGAGCGAGCGUUGUUCGGAAUUACUGGGCGUAAAGCGCACGUAGGCGGACUGGAAAGUCAGAGGUGAAAUCCCAGGGCUCAACCUUGGAACUGCCUUUGAAACUCCCGGUCUUGAGGUCGAGAGAGGUGAGUGGAAUUCCGAGUGUAGAGGUGAAAUUCGUAGAGAUUCGGAGGAACACCAGUGGCGAAGGCGGCUCACUGGCUCGAUACUGACGCUGAGGUGCGAAAGAGUGGGGAGCAAACAGG
Molecule: ribosomal RNA, 253 nt
Filed under: uncultured bacterium
Lineage: Bacteria
Description: partial 16S ribosomal RNA
Rfam family: Bacterial small subunit ribosomal RNA
Source: RNAcentral